Molecule: RNA transcript, 1366 nt
Organism: Haliotis rufescens (red abalone)
Lineage: Eukaryota; Metazoa; Mollusca; Gastropoda; Lepetellida; Haliotidae
Exons: 3
Source: RefSeq, a predicted model, not a curated record
CGCCAUUGUUGUUUUAGCAUCACUGUUGCAAACUUCAAGUCUCCGCUCUUAUUUUGCGAUUUGUUACACACUUCACGCAAGGUCAGCACCAUGUUCACGAGUGUGGCAAGCGUCUUUCAUCAAGUGCUGGAGAUAAACAAGGGAAAACCCCAACAAGAGCAGAUAACUCUAAUGACUUAGCUACCGGUAAGCUUUCAGAAAUGGUGGAUCCGCCCUUGAUUCUGUGCAGAGUAACAGAUGAGAGUGAUGGAGAUGGUGAUGCCACUACACCAGGCCGUCCAGGAUAUGUAAAGCGGAAUGGAGAUACAAUUCCCUGCAUACAUGUAAUUGAGGAUGUGCUGUGAGCAAGGAUGACAAUUUGCCAUUUCCCUGUGACAUGGAUGUAUUGGUGCUUUGUGCUGGUACUUGUAUAUCUCAUAAAAGUAUCACAGAUGUUCACCAUUGUCUUGGACAGGACUUGUUUCUUCCUAUAACCUCUGAGUCUUAGGAGGUGUUUCUCUUUCAUAGUAAGACCUGGUGAGUGUAGUAGAAGACAAAGUUUGGACAAUUUUCCUAAACCAACAACAAGAAAUGAAACCUUUUCAUUAUGGGUCAUUACGCCAUGGGAAUCGAACCCACAACCUCUUGAUCAGUAGUCAGGCACUCUAACCACUAGACCACAGAACUGGUUGAAGAAGUUUAGCAUAUAUUACCUGGCCAGAUAUAUUUUACGAGCAUUUCUAUAGACCAUUUUAACAUACUUUAUUACAUUACAUUAAACACACAUUAAUAAAUGUUUUGGCGGUUCAUAAGUCGGGUAAAACACUCCUCCUCGGUUGUAAGUUAACGUAUGGGAGUUACGAUCACCUUAGUGCUAAGAUUGCUACAACUGCACCCUGGCUAGUAAAACUUCCCUUACAUAAACAGUUCUAUUCCAGGAAUGUAGCUUACAUACCAGAAUAUUUUAUCGUCUAUGAAAAUAGAACAAUUCAUCUGACAUCACUUUUGAUGUUUGAUCGCUGUUUGAUGAUGUGUUGCGCAGUUUCCUGACUAUAUUUCCACAGUUGUUCAUUCUGCUCGGAAUAAGGAUGGAAGGAAUAGAACAUGUAUCCCACACCAUCUUUGUGUUUGCAGGGCAAAAUCAAAACAAAGACUUUUUUAUGAAGAAAACAGUUUAAUACCUUUACACACAGAUAAAUAUACAUUUCCAGCAUAACUCCUAUCCAUACCCCAUCCCCAGAAACAUAUUCCCACGGUUCUACAAAUCAUGUUCAAAACAACAGAAUUUCUUUCCUAUUUUCUGUGUAAGAAAUAGUGAUGAGCAAUAAACACAGUGUUCAGUCUAAAAAGUUCAAAUAAUAAUGUUCAAGUAUCAAUUGUAUUCAAA